UGGGGAAUAUUGCACAAUGGAGGAAACUCUGAUGCAGCGACGCCGCGUGAGUGAAGAAGGUCUUCGGAUCGUAAAACUCUGUCCUUGGUGACGAAAAAAAUGACGGUAGCCAAGGAGGAAGCCCCGGCUAACUACGUGCCAGCAGCCGCGGUAAUACGUAGGGGGCGAGCGUUGUCCGGAUUUACUGGGCGUAAAGGGUGAGUAGGCGGUAAUAUGUGUCAGAUGUAAAAGGCUAUAGCUUAACCAUAGUUGGCAUUUGAAACUGUAGUACUUGAGUGCAGGAGAGGUAAGUGGAAUUCCUAGUGCAGCGGCGAAAUGCGUAGAUAUUAGGAGGAACACCAGUGGCGAAGGCGACUUACUGGACUGUAACUGACGCUGAGUCACGAAAGCGUGGGUAGCAAAC
This 403-nucleotide ribosomal RNA is filed under the name uncultured bacterium. RNAcentral describes it as "bacterial SSU rRNA". It matches the Rfam family "Bacterial small subunit ribosomal RNA", at positions 355 to 773 of the family's 1533-position model. The record is from RNAcentral.